GAUGAACGCUGGCGGCGUGCCUAAUACAUGCAAGUCGAGCGAACGGACGAUAAUCUUUCUUCUCUUAUGUUAGCGGCUGACGUGUGAGUAACACGUGUAUCACCUACCUAUUAUUCUUGUCUAACUUCGGGAAUCCUGUUCUAAUACCGUAUAAUAUUUUUAACCGCAUGUUUCCAAUGUUAUAUUCGUUCUUUCUUUCUCUUAUAGAUUUUUCCGCUCUGCAUUAGCUAGUUGGUAAGGUAACGGCUUACCAAGGCAACGAUGCAUAUCCGACCUGAGAGGGUGAUCGGGCACACUGGAAGUGAGACACGGAGCAGAGGCGUACGGGAGGAAGCAGUAGGGAAUAUGACGAAAAGGGCGAAAGCGUGACGGAGCAACGACGCGUGAGUGAUGAAGGUAUACGGAGCGUAAAAAUCUGUUAUGAGGGAAGAAAAAAUGUGUAAGAAAAAGUGAACAGAUUGACGGUAACAAAUCAGAAAGCAACGGCUAACUACGUG
This 497-nucleotide ribosomal RNA is filed under the name uncultured bacterium. RNAcentral describes it as "partial 16S ribosomal RNA". It matches the Rfam family "Bacterial small subunit ribosomal RNA", at positions 28 to 507 of the family's 1533-position model. The record is from RNAcentral.